AUUGAACGCUGGCGGCAUGCUUUACACAUGCAAGUCGAACGGCAGCGCGGGCUUCGGCCUGGCGGCGAGUGGCGAACGGGUGAGUAAUACAUCGGAACGUGCCCAGCAGUGGGGGAUAGCUCGGCGAAAGCCGGAUUAAUACCGCAUACGACCUGAGGGUGAAAGCGGGGGAUCUUCGGACCUCGCGCUAUUGCGGCGGCCGAUGGCCGAUUAGCUAGUUGGUGGGGUAAAGGCCUACCAAGGCGACGAUCCGUAGCUGGUCUGAGAGGACGACCAGCCACACUGGAACUGAGACACGGCCCAGACUCCUACGGGAGGCAGCAGUGGGGAAUUUUGGACAAUGGGCGAAAGCCUGAUCCAGCAAUGCCGCGUGUGUGAUGAAGGCCUUCGGGUUGUAAAGCACUUUUGGCGGGAAAGAAAAGGACUGUGCCAAUACCACGGUUCGAUGACGGUACCCGCAGAAUAAGCACCGGCUAACUACGUG
This 484-nucleotide ribosomal RNA is filed under the name uncultured bacterium. Its description in RNAcentral is "partial 16S ribosomal RNA". It matches the Rfam family "Bacterial small subunit ribosomal RNA", at positions 29 to 507 of the family's 1533-position model. The record is from RNAcentral.